AGCUCCUCUAAUUAAAAUGAAAGCCCCCCUCAUCAGAGCUCAUCUCAAUUUGGACUAGCCGCAUUUUAAGUAUGUAAGAGUCAUAUGUGGCCUUGUGGCUGCAGAAGUGGACAGAACAGCUCUUUAACGUCCAAUGCAUUCAUAGGCUGUUAAGAGGAUGUCAUUCUCCUUCUCCUUCCAGGAAAAUCAAGAUAACUGCUUUUCCUUUAUUUUAUUGGAUUCAAGCAACCAUGUGAAAAGAUAUGUAAUCACCAAGUAAAUAUUGACCAGGUAAUUACAGAGUAAAUAUUAUGUUAUGACACAAUAAGCAGCAGAUAGUUAUUUCUGCCUCCCAAACUACUAUCUUUUGGUCCUGUCCUAACAUUGGAAAUUAAAUGGUGAUUAUGUUUCUAAUAUCUUUUAAUAUGCUUUCUGAAUUGUCUACCUGAGAGUGGAGUUAUACAGUCAGUGUUUUCUAUGCUAUUACUUUAUAUUGUAACCUAAUUUUGUUCUCCAUGCAAUUUUUUAUAAUGAUAACCAAAACAAUAGUCUUUAUAAUGUUUUAUAAUUUUGAAAGGACUUUCACAUACACUCCUCUCAGUAGGCGAUAAAUAGAUUAUUCUUCCAGACUGAAAAAUCCUCAAAUCCAGAAAUAUUAUCAGAGUUGUUUAAGUUCAUGCUUUUGAACCUGCCAGAUAGGGGCUGGUACAUA
Molecule: long non-coding RNA, 691 nt
Filed under: Sus scrofa (pig)
Lineage: Eukaryota; Metazoa; Chordata; Mammalia; Artiodactyla; Suidae
Description: lncRNA (ENSSSCG00045038025.1, ENSSSCG00065015625.1)
Source: RNAcentral